GUAGAAUGAAGCAGCCUGAUCCAGCCAUGCCGCGUGGGUGAAGAAGGCCUUCGGGUUGUAAAGCCCUUUUGUUGGGAAAGAAAAGCAGUCGGUUAAUACCCGAUUGUUCUGACGGUACCCAAAGAAUAAGCACCGGAUAACUUCGUGCCAGCAGCCGCGGUAAUAC
Molecule: ribosomal RNA, 166 nt
Filed under: uncultured Xanthomonas sp.
Lineage: Bacteria; Pseudomonadati; Pseudomonadota; Gammaproteobacteria; Lysobacterales; Lysobacteraceae
Description: partial 16S ribosomal RNA
Rfam family: Bacterial small subunit ribosomal RNA
Source: RNAcentral